Molecule: non-coding RNA, 180 nt
Organism: Azonexus hydrophilus
Lineage: Bacteria; Pseudomonadati; Pseudomonadota; Betaproteobacteria; Rhodocyclales; Azonexaceae
Rfam family: 6S / SsrS RNA
About the family: E. coli 6S RNA was the first non coding RNA to be sequenced, but its function was unknown until recently. It consists of 184 nucleotides that fold into an extended hairpin structure with a large single-stranded internal bulge.
Source: Rfam
UGUUCCCUGCGGUGUUUGUUAAGGCCAUAUAUUCCUUGAACCAAUGCUUAUUGGCAUCGGUUGCGGACCAAAUACCCGCUGUUGUGCGCGUUCUUCGUCGAAUGUGCCUGAUGCGGAAGGAAAGCAACCACUCUGGACCCAGGUUCAGGAUGCCGGCCUGACGGCACUCGCGGGGACUUA